GCCAAUCCAAGUUAGCUGUCCUGGCUCCACCCCCACCCAGCUCCCCAUGCCCUCUCAAUAGUCCCCCCACACAAGAAACCAAAAGAGUCUUUGCACUGCUGGGAGUUUUCUUUGAUCCCUGGAAGAGGGCUAAGCUAAGCCCUGUAGUGCAGUUCAGAUGUUGUCUUGCCUUUUUGUACACCACUUGUUCCACGAAAAGAAGGCAAAGACUAAAAAGGAGCAGUGCUCUGAGAAAUAUUUGCCUUCUGCUGAACGUAGAAAGAGAAGGAGAGUUCCACAACUAUUGCUUCAUCACCAUACUUUUCAGCAAAUAAAUAUUGUUCAUCAAUAAAACCUCAGGCCGUGAGUCAAUAAUGGUUGAAUAUUAGGAAUUUUCUGGUAUGACGAUGCUACUCUGAAUCAAUAAAUGAAACCUCAUGUUACACAAAGGAUACUGAGCAAUUUUGUUUCAUAAUAGGUUGCAGAAAGUGACCACACUUUGCAUUUCCUGCCCUUAGAGUGGUUUUUGGCUUUCAAAGUCUCCAUCAAUAUCAAGAAAGUAAAAGUCAAGUGAGAUACAGCCUGCAAUGAAAAGACAUGAAAACUAACUAAG
Numida meleagris (helmeted guineafowl) is the source of this 592-nucleotide long non-coding RNA. RefSeq lists it as uncharacterized. The record is from RefSeq and is a predicted model, not a curated record. The transcript has 4 exons. NCBI's taxonomy places the organism in Eukaryota, Metazoa, Chordata, Aves, Galliformes, Numididae.